RNAcentral lists this long non-coding RNA (2934 nucleotides) under Homo sapiens (human). Its description in RNAcentral is "HSALNT0381236". The record is from RNAcentral. Lineage: Eukaryota; Metazoa; Chordata; Mammalia; Primates; Hominidae.
GAGCUCUUGAUACCACAGUCAGAAAGAUGAGGAUGAACCAGCCAAUAUUUCUGAGAAGGAGUAGACAGUGAUGGAGGAGGAAACCCAGAAAGUGUAGCAUCCUGAAAACUAAGUGAAGAAAGUGUUUCAUGAGGACUGAGAGAUUGAAUAGAAUGGGUUGGAUGAUUGAGGACUGACCAUUGGAUUUGAAAACACUGAAAUUGUUGACAACUUUGAUAAGAGCUAUUUAUGGGCAUAGUGGCAUUGAGAGAAUGAGAGGAGGAGUGGAGAUGGCAGGUAGAGAUCGCUCUUUCUAGGAGUUUUCCAGAGAAAUGGGCUGGAGAAAAAUACUGAUAGAGACUUUAAUUUGCUUUUUAAAGAUAAAAAAUGUUUGCUUGUUAAUGGUAUUUAUCUAGUAGACAGAAGAAAUUUAGCCUUAGAUACAAGUAUGAAUUGUCUACCUUAAAAAAAUUUUUUUUGGAGUUGGGGACUCACUCUGUCAUCCAGGCUGGAGUGCAGUGUCAUGAUCAUAGUUCACUGUAACCUCAAACUCCUGGCCUCAAGGAAUCCUCCUACCUCAUCGUUCUGAGUAGCCGUGAUUACAAGCAUACAGCACCAUGUUCAGGUACUUUAAAAAAAACUUUUUAGAGAUGGGAUUUCCCUGCGUUGUCCAGGCUGAUUUUGAAUUCCUAACCUCAAGUGAUCCUCCCACCUUGGCAUCCCAAAGCACUGAUUACAGGUAUAAGCCACCCCACCUGGCCACUGGUUUUUAAAUUCUACUUUUUGUAGUAACCCAUAGCUGUUAAGAGUUAUGGCUUAUUUAUGACUUGGUUCUUUCUCUAAGCUUGAGGAGAACAUAUCAUUCCAAGUCAUUUUAGUUGGAUUAGGGCUUUGAGACCUAUAGAUAGCUUAAAUUUACAUUCUUAGCACACUCAGCUUCUGCUUUACCUGAAAGAUUUUUGAUGGCCAUAAACUUUUUCACUUUUCUAACCAUAAAAUUAUCCAUUUCCAUCUAUCAUUUUGCAUUGUAGCCUAAAAAAGUAAUAAAGAAAUAUAGAUUUCAGGUAAUUUUUUUUUUUUGAGAUGGAGUCUUGCUUUGUCACACAGGCUGGAGUGCAGUGGCGCAAUCUCGGCUCACUGCAACCUCUGCCUCCUGGGUUCAAGCGAUUCUCCUGCCUCAGCCUCCUAAGUAGCUGGGAUUACAGGUGCCUGGCACCAUGCCUGGCUAAUUUUCAUAUUUUUAGUAGAGACAGGGUUUCGACAUGUUGGCCAGGCUGGUCUCAAACUCAUUUUCAGGUAAAUUUUAAAGACAUAUCUACUCUAAGAAUCCUCUUGCUCCUUUUCUAGUUAUAAAAGGAUGUUUUUCUCUUUAAUACAAAAUUAUUUUGUUUUUCUCUAUCAAUAGAUAUUUAGCUGAUAAGCGUCCACCAGUGGAAUUCCUGAAUCUGUAUACAACUGGUAUCCUUGCCAACAGUGAAUGCAAGACUUCCAGAUCACUUACAAAUCAGGCUCUUUUAAAAGAUCUUCCUCAUUGUCUUUUCUGGAAACAUUUAAAAACCAGUUUAAUCAGAACCAAAGACAGUUUUAUUUUCUACUGAAAGAAAAUUAACAUUUCUUAUCAAUGUUAGUGGGUUGUGGUAAGGAUUCACUAUCCCCACUGUUUUUCAUUAAUGGCCAAGUUUGUUUCUGACUUCUCUUUUGCUUAAUCCCCUGUGGAAUAGAGUCAAGUGCAUGUUUUUUUAACAUACAACUAUUUUCUCUACACCCCAGGAAAUGUGAACUGUGUGUCACAUCCAGUAAAACAUGGUGCCUCCAACCAUGGAGUCUGCUUUAUUUGAACAUUUAAUUUUUGCUUUUCAGAGUGUUAUAAUUUUACCUUUCUUGUUCAAUCUAAGGCAGAAUGAGUGGUUCUUUUGAGUCUCCUUAUUCUAAUAUUAGAUUUCCCAAACUAAAUUCCCUCUUUACUAUGCACAAUUCUAGAUUUAAAUAUGAUGUAAAAAAUUCUACUGUCUUUGUGUGCUGAUUUAAUGUAUCUCCUGUGUUAAAAGCAAGAUUGAAAACGGACAUGCAGAUGGACACAGCCAAAGAAUCAAUGAGCUUGAAGAUAUGGCAGUGGAAACUUCCCAAACUGAAAUGGAAAGAGAAAAGAGAAGAAUAAUGCAAAAGUCAAUAUACUUUUAAAGGACCAGGAUAAAAAACAAAACAAAACAAAAAAAACACCCAACCAGAGCAGAACAUCUAAAAUCUGUGGGAACAGUAUCAAGAUGUGUAUAUGUGCAAUCAGGAAUACCAGAGGGACACCAAACCACAGAUUCCGAAGCACAGAAAAUAACAAGCAGGAUAAAUAACAAAAGGCUACACUUACACAUAUUAUAGUCAAACUGCGACAAAGAGAAAAUCUGUCAAGAAGCCAGAGUAAAAAAAAAAAAAAACAAAACCCACCUCAUCUACAGAGGAACAAGAAUAAAAAUUACAACAGGCUUCUCAUCAGAAAUUAUGCAAGAACAUGAAGUUUUUAAAGUGAUGAAAGAAAAAAUCCUCAGCAACCUGGAGUUCUUUUUCUUUUUUAACUUCUAAUUUUUGUGGGUACAUAGUAGGUAUAUAUAUUUAUGGGGUGUUUGGGAUAUUUUGAUACAGGCAUAUAUGUGUAAUAAUCACAUCUGGGUAUAUGGGUUUCCAUCACCUCAAGCAUGUAUCCUUUGUGUUACAAACAAUCCAGUUAUAUUCUUUAGUUAUUUUUAAAUUUAUGAUUAAAUUAUUACAUCACCAUGUUGUGCUAUCAAAUACUAGAUCUUACUCAUUCUUUUUAAACUAUUUUAUAUACCCAUUAACCAUCUCCAUUUCCCUCCCACCACUCCUCAAUGGCCCUUCCCAGCCUCUGGUAACCAUCAUUCUACUCUCCAUGAGUUCAAUUAAAAAAAUUUUUAGUACUCACAAAUAAAUGAGAGCAUGAGA